Molecule: long non-coding RNA, 1776 nt
Organism: Patiria miniata (bat star)
Lineage: Eukaryota; Metazoa; Echinodermata; Asteroidea; Valvatida; Asterinidae
Exons: 3
Source: RefSeq, a predicted model, not a curated record
CGCGGGCGGGCGGAGGAACAGCUAACAACUUGCGAAAGAAGAAUUUAAGGACAACCGCACAGCACAAAUAUAGAAGCCGGGGGACCAUGUUCACAAGGUCAGGUAACCAUGUUUUUUGCAGCAGUGUGAUCGUGCUCUACUAGAACACAAGAAACAGAUGUCUUUGGAACAAGUACUCUUUCUUGGAAGAAGUUGAGAUGAUGCAAGUAGAGGCCGGGGGACAAGACUGCAUGUUCACUAAGUUGUGGACAUGCGCAUGACCUCCGGAUUUCAGUCUUUGGAACAGGAACUGAUCAAGCUAAAGGCAUGUGACAGAGCGACUUUUUCUUAGAAGAAGUGCAGAAGGCGGAAGUAUAGAGGCCGGGGGACAAGACUGCAUGUUCACUAAGGUGAGGUAACCAUUUUGUUGCAGCUGUGGGCAUGCUCAAGACCCCCGGAUUGCAAGAAUCGUUGGAACUCAAGAACUCCAGACCAAAGUACAGUUUGCAAGCGGAGUCGUUCGAUGGAUUGUGCAGAGUGAGUCAUAGCCAAUGGCUUGAAUUUUGUUAUUUACUUUUGAACCACUCUGGAAAAAUGUGCCAAAAAGUUUCCAAUUUUGACAUGUACUUGGAUUUUUGUUAUAUUUUUGGCCAGUCACUUAGGCCUUAUUGCAAAAUGCAAGCAUUUUGCCUGAUGCAAGAAACAAAUGGAACAAAAUAUUUAUUACUGCACAUCUGACUUUGAUUUUCAAACAACUUAAGCUUGAAAUGUGGUGGUAGUGGUUUUUUGACGUUUUUUUGGUUUUUAGUUUUACUCAAUUAAUUUCCUUGCCAACAUUCAAUUUUUGAAUGUUUGGGGGCCAAAAAAAGAAUAUUUAAUUUUAUUUUCAUAAACCACUGACUAUUUUCUUCUGAAAAGCUCCAAAAGUAAUUGAAAUUUUCCCAGAGUUGGUUCAGAACGUCAGAUAUAGUGUUUGUGAUUGUGGGGUUUGGUGGUGGUAUGUGUUUGUGAUUGUGGGGUUUGGUGGUGGUAUGUGUUUGUGUGGGGUGGUGGUUUCUCUACAGGUCGUCGGCUCAAAUUGAGCAUAUGUCAUCGGCUCAAAUUGAGCACAGCAAGAUUUACUACAGGACUAUGGGAUCACCUAUAUCCCGAUGUCCUCCAGGAUCAAGAUGGGAUGUGGGAUCUUCUUUAUCCCUUCAUCCUACAACGCAAGACCAGCAGGACUAUGGGAUCUUCUAUAUCCCUACGUCCAUCCAGGGGCGGAUCAUGGGUGGCAAUCAGCUCCUUGGAGAGCAAAAUGUCAACUUUCAUACUAGAAACAUUACUAAGGGUCAUUUACUCCUUGAUGGAGAGAAGCAAAAAGAGUUAGCAAGGAUAGAAACCAAUGUAUUGAAGAAAACAAGUCAGUUGCUGAUCAUUGCACCACCUAUCACCUCUUGUGAAAGUAUUCAUGUUUCAAACAUUUAGGUUUUGGGAUCUUGAAACCAAAUAUUGGAAAAUUACUUGGCCAAGUGAAGUAAUUCUGUCAAGUAAGGUUAAGGAACUUGCUCCCUGAUCCGUCCCUGCUGCAAGGCUCCACUAAAUAAAUUUAUCUUGUGCACCGCCUUUAGGGCAUAAACACGUACUUCCACAGGGACAAUCUUUUUUGAUAAAUGUUCAUCAUCUAUUAGUGAAAUGAUACAAAUUUCACUAAAUAAAUAGGUUUUUUUUUCUUAGUUCAGGGGAUCUCCUAUAUCCCUCUGAGAACUCAAGGCUAUGGGAUCUCCUAUAUCCCUAUGCCGUUAGGGCUUAGGUGGG